CACCUGAUAGCACAUGGUGUGCGCUUGCUACCUGUAAUGGGGUUUCAACGAGGAAUUGGUAUGCAAGAGGCCCUCGUUCGAUUCGGGGUCAGGUGA
Mycena metata is the source of this 96-nucleotide non-coding RNA. NCBI's taxonomy places the organism in Eukaryota, Fungi, Basidiomycota, Agaricomycetes, Agaricales, Mycenaceae. The record is from the annotation of a GenBank genome assembly.